This 226-nucleotide unclassified non-coding RNA is filed under the name Hevea brasiliensis (rubber tree). The record is from RNAcentral. Lineage: Eukaryota; Viridiplantae; Streptophyta; Magnoliopsida; Malpighiales; Euphorbiaceae.
AGGCAGCCUCUCAUGAAGGAGAUGCUAAGGAAAAGAAGGGUAUUUUAGAGAAGAUCAAGGAGAAGAUUCCUGGGUAUCAUCCGAAGACAGAGGAAGAGAAGAAGGAAUAGCAGUAUUUUGUGCAAAAGCAUCAAAAUGGUGAUGAUAAAUGUGUGGUGAUUUUGCUGCGUUUGUUUUAUAUGUUUUUUGGUUUUUAAUUAAGCUUGAUUAUGUGGGGAAAAAAAAA